CAGUCGAACGAUGAUCCCCAGCUUGCUGGGGGGAUUAGUGGCGAACGGGUGAGUAACACGUGAGUAACCUGCCCUUGACUCUGGGAUAAGCCUGGGAAACUGGGUCUAAUACUGGAUACGACCUUUCACCGCAUGGUGGGGGGUGGAAAGCUUUUGUGGUUUUGGAUGGACUCGCGGCCUAUCAGCUUGUUGGUGGGGUAAUGGCCUACCAAGGCGACGACGGGUAGCCGGCCUGAGAGGGUGGACGGCCACACUGGGACUGAGACACGGCCCAGACUCCUACGGGAGGCAGCAGUGGGGAAUAUUGCACAAUGGGCGCAAGCCUGAUGCAGCGACGCCGCGUGAGGGAUGAAGGCCUUCGGGUUGUAAACCUCUUUCAGUAGGGAAGAAGCGAAAGUGACGGUACCUGCAGAAGAAGCGCCGGCUAACUACGUGCCAGCAGCCGCGGUAAUACGUAGGGCGCAAGCGUUAUCCGGAAUUAUUGGGCGUAAAGAGCUCGUAGGCGGUUUGUCGCGUCUGCCGUGAAAGUCCGGGGCUUAACUCCGGAUCUGCGGUGGGUACGGGCAGACUUGAGUGAUGUAGGGGAGACUGGAAUUCCUGGUGUAGCGGUGAAAUGCGCAGAUAUCAGGAGGAACACCGAUGGCGAAGGCAGGUCUCUGGGCAUUAACUGACGCUGAGGAGCGA
This 684-nucleotide ribosomal RNA is filed under the name bacterium SL5.9. RNAcentral describes it as "bacterial SSU rRNA". It matches the Rfam family "Bacterial small subunit ribosomal RNA", at positions 59 to 756 of the family's 1533-position model. The record is from RNAcentral.